RNAcentral lists this ribosomal RNA (497 nucleotides) under uncultured bacterium. RNAcentral describes it as "partial 16S ribosomal RNA". It matches the Rfam family "Bacterial small subunit ribosomal RNA", at positions 28 to 507 of the family's 1533-position model. The record is from RNAcentral.
GAUGAACGCUGGCGGCGUGCCUAAUACAUGCAAGUCGAGCGAACAGACGAGGAGCUUGCUCCUCUGACGUUAGCGGCGGACGGGUGAGUAACACGUGGAUAACCUACCUAUAAGACUGGGAUAACUUCGGGAAACCGGAGCUAAUACCGGAUAAUAUAUUGAACCGCAUGGUUCAAUAGUGAAAGACGGUUUUGCUGUCACUUAUAGAUGGAUCCGCGCCGCAUUAGCUAGUUGGUAAGGUAACGGCUUACCAAGGCGACGAUGCGUAGCCGACCUGAGAGGGGGAUCGGCCACACUGGAACUGAGACACGGUCCAGACUCCUACGGGAGGCAGCAGUAGGGAAUCUUCCGCAAUGGGCGAAAGCCUGACGGAGCAACGCCGCGUGAGUGAUGAAGGUCUUCGGAUCGUGAAACUCUGUUAUUAGGGAAGAACAAAUGUGUAAGUAACUAUGCACGUCUUGACGGUACCUAAUCAGAAAGCCACGGCUAACUACGUG